GGGUGCGCGCUCAGACGCGGCGCGAGCGCCAGGCAAGCUGCGGCUGCUGCCUCCCACGCCUCUCCAGGUGCACUCGGCGCCGCCCCCCUGCACCUGGCUGCGGUGCCGAGUCACUCAGGCCUGUGUCAGGGAGAGAGGGAGGGAGCUGCCCUGGAAAGCAGACACUGACAGUGAGGGGUGGCUGGACUGGUCCAGAUGAAGGCUGAUUUGGAGUCAAAUCUCUGGUUUUCUGGGGCGUUUGAAACCAUACCCCAGAGGCAUCAACUGGCUACCUCAGGGGAACUGGCCCUGCAGGCUCCAUUUGAAACCCCCUUGAUAUGAAAAUAUUGACGCCUCUGUUCGCAUCUCAUCUCAAGUUACCCA
This 363-nucleotide small RNA is filed under the name Pan troglodytes (chimpanzee). Its description in RNAcentral is "processed transcript". Lineage: Eukaryota; Metazoa; Chordata; Mammalia; Primates; Hominidae. The record is from RNAcentral.